CGAAGAANAGCAAUACUUAGUGGCAGACGGGUGAGUAACAUGUGCGGUAUCUGCCCUUUGGCCUGGAAUAACACGAGGAAACUUGUGCUAAUACCGGAUAAGUCUUUACGGAGAAAGCUUUAUGCACCAUUGGAUGAGCCCGCACUUGAUUAGUUAGUUGGUAGGGUAAUGGCCUACCAAGACUGUGAUCAAUAGCUGAUUUGAGAGGAUGAUCAGCCACAUUGGGACUGAGACACGGCCCAAACUCCUACGGGAGGCAGCAGUGGGGAAUCUUGCACAAUGGAGGAAACUCUGAUGCAGCGAUGCCGCGUGAGUGAAGAAGGCCUUUGGGUUGUAAAGCUCUUUCGUCGGGGAAGAAAAUGACUGUACCCGAAUAAGAAGGUCCGGCUAACUUCGUGCCAGCAGCCGCGGUAAUACGAAGGGACCUAGCGUAGUUCGGAAUUACUGGGCUUAAAGAGUUCGUAGGUGGUUGAAAAAGUUGGUGGUGAAAUCCCAGAGCUUAACUCUGGAACUGCCAUCAAAACUUUUCAGCUAGAGUAUGAUAGAGGAAAGCAGAAUUUCUAGUGUAGAGGUGAAAUUCGUAGAUAUUAGAAAGAAUACCGAUUGCGAAGGCAGCUUUCUGGAUCAUUACUGACACUGAGGAACGAAAGCAUGGGGAGCGAAGAGGAUUAGAUACCCUCGUAGUCCAUGCCGUAAACGAUGUGUGUUAGACGUUGGAAAUUUAUUUUCAGUGUCGCAGCGAAAGCGAUAAACACACCGCCUGGGGAGUACGUCCCGCAGGUUAAAACUCNAAUGAAUUGACGGGGACCCGCACAAGUAGUGGAGCAU
RNAcentral lists this ribosomal RNA (828 nucleotides) under uncultured Alphaproteobacteria bacterium. RNAcentral's name for it is "bacterial SSU rRNA". It matches the Rfam family "Bacterial small subunit ribosomal RNA", at positions 76 to 940 of the family's 1533-position model. The record is from RNAcentral. Lineage: Bacteria; Pseudomonadati; Pseudomonadota; Alphaproteobacteria.